Molecule: ribosomal RNA, 481 nt
Filed under: uncultured bacterium
Lineage: Bacteria
Description: partial 16S ribosomal RNA
Rfam family: Bacterial small subunit ribosomal RNA
Source: RNAcentral
GAUGAACGCUGGCGGCGUGCUUAACACAUGCAAGUCGAACGAAGCACUUUAUUUGAUUUCCUUCGGGACUGAUUAUUUUGUGACUGAGUGGCGGACGGGUGAGUAACGCGUGGGUAACCUGCCUUGUACAGGGGGAUAACAGUUGGAAACGGCUGCUAAUACCGCAUAAGCGCACAGCAUCGCAUGAUGCAGUGUGAAAAACUCCGGUGGUAUAAGAUGGACCCGCGUUGGAUUAGCUAGUUGGUGAGGUAACGGCCCACCAAGGCGACGAUCCGUAGCCGACCUGAGAGGGUGACCGGCCACAUUGGGACUGAGACACGGCCCAAACUCCUACGGGAGGCAGCAGUGGGGAAUAUUGCACAAUGGGCGAAAGCCUGAUGCAGCGACGCCGCGUGAGCGAAGAAGUAUUUCGGUAUGUAAAGCUCUAUCAGCAGGGAAGAUAAUGACGGUACCUGACUAAGAAGCACCGACUAAAUACGUG